RNAcentral lists this ribosomal RNA (253 nucleotides) under uncultured bacterium. RNAcentral describes it as "partial 16S ribosomal RNA". It matches the Rfam family "Bacterial small subunit ribosomal RNA", at positions 524 to 776 of the family's 1533-position model. The record is from RNAcentral.
UACAGAGGUCUCAAGCGUUGUUCGGAUUCAUUGGGCGUAAAGGGUGCGUAGGUGGUGAGGUAAGUCGGAUGUGAAAUCUCGGAGCUCAACUCCGAAAUGGCAUUGGAAACUACCUCGCUCGAGGAUUGGAGGGGGGACUGGAAUACUUGGUGUAGCAGUGAAAUGCGUAGAUAUCAAGUGGAACACCAGUGGCGAAGGCGAGUCCCUGGACAAUUCCUGACACUGAGGCACGAAAGCUAGGGGAGCAAACAGG